Molecule: ribosomal RNA, 495 nt
Filed under: uncultured bacterium
Lineage: Bacteria
Description: partial 16S ribosomal RNA
Rfam family: Bacterial small subunit ribosomal RNA
Source: RNAcentral
AUGAACGCUGGCGGCGUGCCUAAUACAUGCAAGUCGAGCGAACAGACGAGGAGCUUGCUCCUCUGACGUUAGCGGCGGACGGGUGAGUAACACGUGGAUAACCUACCUAUAAGACUGGGAUAACUUCGGGAAACCGGAGCUAAUACCGGAUAAUAUAUUGAACCGCAUGGUUCAAUAGUGAAAGACGGUUUUGCUGUCACUUAUAGAUGGAUCCGCGCCGCAUUAGCUAGUUGGUAAGGUAACGGCUUACCAAGGCGACGAUGCGUAGCCGACCUGAGAGGGUGAUCGGCCACACUGGAACUGAGACACGGUCCAGACUCCUACGGGAGGCAGCAGUAGGGAAUCUUCCGCAAUGGGCGAAAGCCUGACGGAGCAACGCCGCGUGAGUGAUGAAGGUCUUCGGAUCGUAAAACUCUGUUAUUAGGGAAGAACAAAUGUGUAAGUAACUAUGCACGUCUUGACGGUACCUAAGCAGAAAGCCACGGCUAACUACGU